RNAcentral lists this ribosomal RNA (747 nucleotides) under Triticum aestivum (bread wheat). RNAcentral describes it as "partial small subunit ribosomal RNA". Lineage: Eukaryota; Viridiplantae; Streptophyta; Magnoliopsida; Poales; Poaceae. The record is from RNAcentral.
AUGGAAGAAGAAAUUUAUGAAACUGUGAGCUCAUUGGAUGAAAAAGAUGAUGAGAAGAGCGAAGAACAAAAGGAGGAAGAACGGAUUAGCUACCCGUUCCCACCUUCUAAUGAGAGUAACUCUUCAACUCAUACAUUGUUUAAUUUCCCUUCGUGCUUACCGGAGGAUGAUUGCUAUGAUGAUUGUUAUGAUCCCGUUGAUUCUCUUGAAAUAUCUCUUUUUGAUGAUGCUUGCUAUGCUUGUGGCCAAGAUGCCAAUAUGAAUUAUGCCUAUGGAGACGAACUUGCUAUAGUUCCUUAUGUUAAACAUGAAAUUGUUGCUAUUGCACCCACACAUGAUAGUCCUAUUAUCUUUUUGAAUUCUCCCGACUACACUAUAUCGGAGAAGUUUGCACUUAUUAAGGAUUAUAUUGAUGGGUUGCCUUUUACCAUUGCACAUGAUGAUUUUGAUGAAUAUAAUAUGCAUGUGCUUGCUGCUCCUACUUGCAAUUAUUAUGAGAGAGGAACUAUAUCUCCACCUCUCUAUGUUUCCAAUAUGAUAAAGUUGCAAGAAACUGUUUAUACUAUGCAUUGGCCUUUACUAGGUGUGCAUGAAUUGUUCUUUUAUGACAUGCCGAUGCAUAGGAAGAGAGUUAGACUUCGUCAUUGCUUGAUAUAUGUUGCUUUGUUCUCACUACUAAAUUACAAAUCAUUGUUAAUUAAAAUUGACUUUGAUAUACCUUGGGAUCCGGGUGGAUUCACUACUUGA